Molecule: ribosomal RNA, 273 nt
Filed under: unidentified marine bacterioplankton
Lineage: Bacteria
Description: partial 16S ribosomal RNA
Rfam family: Bacterial small subunit ribosomal RNA
Source: RNAcentral
CGAGAAAGUUUCUUCGGAAGCAAGUAAAGCGGCGGACGGGUGAGUAACGCGUGAGGAUCUCCCCUUCAGUGAAGGAUACCCUUGAGAAAUUAAGGUUAAUACUGCAUACGUCUACUAUUAACUUAAUAGAGAAAGAUGGCCUCUUGCUGUCGCUGAAAGAUGAACUUGCGUUCUAUUAGCUAGUUGGUGGGGUAAAGGCUCACCAAGGCGAUGAUGGAUAGCCGGCCUGAGAGGGUGAACGGCCACAUUGGAACUGAGAGCGGUCCAGACUCC